This 465-nucleotide ribosomal RNA is filed under the name uncultured bacterium. RNAcentral describes it as "bacterial SSU rRNA". It matches the Rfam family "Bacterial small subunit ribosomal RNA", at positions 329 to 793 of the family's 1533-position model. The record is from RNAcentral.
AUCCAGACUCCUACGGGAGGCAGCAGUAGGGAAUAUUGCUCAAUGGGGGAAACCCUGAUGCAGCGACGCCGCGUGAGUGAAGAAGUAUUUCGGUAUGUAAAGCUCUAUCAGCAGGGAAGAAAUACUGACCUUACGGUCAGCAGACGGUACCUGACUAAGAAGCCCCGGCUAACUACGUGCCAGCAGCCGCGGUAAUACGUAGGGGGCAAGCGUUAUCCGGAUUUACUGGGUGUAAAGGGAGCGUAGACGGUGCAGCAAGUCUGGAGUGAAAGGCAGGGGCCCAACCCCUGGACUGCUCUGGAAACUGUCGUACUUGAGUGCAGGAGAGGUAAGUGGAAUUCCUAGUGUAGCGGUGAAAUGCGUAGAUAUUAGGAGGAACACCAGUGGCGAAGGCGGCUUACUGGACUGUAACUGACGUUGAGGCUCGAAAGCGUGGGGAGCAAACAGGAUUAGAUACCCGAGUAC